RNAcentral lists this Y RNA (95 nucleotides) under Microcebus murinus (gray mouse lemur). RNAcentral describes it as "Y RNA (ENSMICG00000046782.1)". It matches the Rfam family "Y RNA". From Rfam's summary of the family: Y RNAs are components of the Ro ribonucleoprotein particle (Ro RNP), in association with Ro60 and La proteins. The Y RNAs and Ro60 and La proteins are well conserved, but the function of the Ro RNP is not known. Lineage: Eukaryota; Metazoa; Chordata; Mammalia; Primates; Cheirogaleidae. The record is from Rfam by way of RNAcentral.
GGCUGGUCCAAUGGUAGUGGGUUGUCAGAACGUAUUAACAUUAGUGUCACCAAAGUUGGUAUUCAACCCCCCACUACUAAUUUGACUGGCUUUUU